AGAGUUUGAUCAUGGCUCAGGAUGAACGCUAGCUACAGGCUUAACACAUGCAAGUCGAGGGGCAGCAUUUUAGUUUGCUUGCAAACUAAAGAUGGCGACCGGCGCACGGGUGAGUAACACGUAUCCAACCUGCCGAUAACUCGGGGAUAGCCUUUCGAAAGAAAGAUUAAUAUCCGAUAGCAUAUUGAGAUCGCAUGAUUUUGAUAUUAAAGAAUUUCGGUAUCGAUGGGGAUGCGUUCCAUUAGUUGUUGGCGGGGUAACGGCCACCAAGACAACGAUGGAUAGGGGUUCUGAGAGGAAGGUCCCCCACAUUGGAACUGAGACACGGUCCAAACUCCUACGGGAGGCA
RNAcentral lists this ribosomal RNA (349 nucleotides) under uncultured bacterium. RNAcentral describes it as "bacterial SSU rRNA". It matches the Rfam family "Bacterial small subunit ribosomal RNA", at positions 8 to 350 of the family's 1533-position model. The record is from RNAcentral.